RNAcentral lists this long non-coding RNA (642 nucleotides) under Sinocyclocheilus grahami. RNAcentral describes it as "lncRNA (ENSSGRG00000032463.1)". The record is from RNAcentral. Lineage: Eukaryota; Metazoa; Chordata; Actinopteri; Cypriniformes; Cyprinidae.
UUCAAGCAUUAAAAACUAACCUUCUGUGAAUUCUGCUGCUCUAUGAAAUGCAUCUCACUUGAGAGACUCAUUUUGAACUACUUUAACUUAACGAGGCAUUUUAAAACCAUGCUGCUAGACGUUUGACAGAUCUGCAUGACCUCUGUGUGUCUCUCAGAUCUCUGCAGGACGUUCAUACAGCAGCCGAUGCUCAACAUGGUCCGAACGGCACUGAAAGAUCACAAGGACAGUAAGAAGGACAAAGCGGGCCGGAGCAUGUCUCUCACAGGUCCUGGACCGGUCAAAGUGACCGAGUCGUUCUCAUGGGACGCGUAUUUAACAGAGUCGUCGUCCGUUCCCGCUCUUCCCAGCUGCUUCAGACAGGUGAGACCGGCAGUCAAAUCCCGUCAGGACUCGUCUCUGAGGAAUGAUGGGAUGGCCAUGUUUUUAACUUUUCAUGUGUUCUGUGAAUAAAAAUCACAUUAACCCUUUAAAGCCUACUGUAUCAUAUUUGAUUACAUUUCUAAGGCUCUAAAUGAUCAUCAUGAUCAAACUCUGCUGUCGCACAUAAUCUCCUGCAUGCCUUCUGUCUCUGAUUGAGAGUUUUGAGUUUUUUAUCCAGUCAGAGCUCUCUUUUAGUGUAACUGUUGCUGGAGCUUCACG